GAAAAGCGAAAUAGCUGAUAAUAUUGUUCAACUAUAAAUGAUGCAUCCCUCGGGAUGAAUCACGAUCUUGAGUACAAAUUCACAUGCUGAUUUGUAUAAUCCAUUACUUAAAAGCUUUAAAUCAGAUCAUCACACCACAAUAACUUUGGUGCAUUAUGAAUUUCAAAUUGUACCGCAAAUAUUGACAACAAGCACGUGGAAAAUCUAUUUUGCAGGUUGUAGUGUUGUACACACACUCAUCUAGAGAACCUGGUUGUGUGCAGGCAGACAUUCAGAAUGCAAAUAUUGUUCUCCUGCACAAAUUAAUACAACUCAGAUACAUCAAGAUCAUAUUUUUUUAGAACUGUGUAUGUGAGCUAUGUGCAAAAUAUAUUAGACACACCAAGGCUAGGGUGCAUCUACAAUAACCAUCAGUCUAUCAUCUACAUAUUACAUAAAGUCCACUUAGUCGAGAGCAGAACAAAAUAAGAAGGGGGAAAGGGCACAAAGGAUUUAGCAAGUUGAGAAAAAAAAUCUUACUUGGACCUGUACUGGGCAAUGGGCAGUAGUAGAGGAAUUGCAAGUUUAGGUUCAUCUUUUGGAAGCAAAGAAUCGCAGAAUUUGUUAGUAGAUUUAUAUUCAGGACCUACAAUAAAAUUGAUCUGGUAUGUCAUUUGCUUGACCUUAUCAUGAUACAGAGAAAACAAGCCUUGAUUCCUCGCAAAACCUUAUAGUUCUGUGUUGAUCCAUACACCGAAGAUUGAAGAUAACUGCAAGAUCACCAGUACAAGCAGUACAUUUUCUGAGUAUAUUUUCAGAGUACUUCAAGCAAGAUUACUGAAGUUACUAAAAUUUACUUCAAGCAAGAUUACUGGAGUAAAACUCUCACACUAUGUUUACUGAAAAUUUACUAAAACUGUGCCUACAACUACAUUUCCUACUCCUAAUCUGUAACCAUACUCAACAAAUAAUUGUACCCUACUUCUAAUCUGAACCAAAUCUUGCAACCAGGAUAGGGAGGAGACAGGGGAAGCUCAGCACACGCUGGAGAUGCUGGCAAAGAGGAGCAUCGUCGAGCAGGAUGUCCACGACGCCGUAGGAGAUGAAGGGGAGGGCGUACCACAUGCAGCCAGGCCGUCGGCGGCUGCUCCUCCUGCUACUCCUCACGGCACCGUCUUCAAAUUCAGAACCGCCACCUCCACCCCUCCCCAUCUUCAGAUGUGCUCUUGCUCCUUCCGCUCAUCUUCAUGGCGGGGACGUCCAGCCACCACCGUCACUCAUUAUCUUUGCUGCUUCAUGUUCCUCUAAUUUUUGAAAUAUAAAAGCAUAAACUUAAGUGGGAAGCAGCAAGGUAAAGUGCUACAUUAGUAUAUGUGCAGACUACUUCCUUAUACCAUAGCAAACAAUCUAAGAAUUUCAAAUCCAAAUGUUGUGAGGCACACCAUUGCUUCUGAGCUCUGAUCAGCCAAAUUUUUUUGCAGAUGAUAAACAGUUCCAGAGAAAGACCUACCAUCCAACUUAUCCAAAAGUGGUCUUCUGAUUUCCUAUGAGAUAGUGAAAGAACAAUAUACAAUUAUAUAAUCAAUCAAAAAGCAUUACUUCAAUAAUAUACGCUUGAGACAGAGGUAUUAGCUGUAACCGGAAGGAAGACAUGUUGAAUUACAGUGCAGAUAGAGCAUAAAUGCAUAGUACGUAAAAGAGAUUUUGAUAUGCAGAGUGAAACCAAGAGAAACAAUAGCAAAGCCGAGCCACUUAACUGGGAAAAGAUGUUUAACAAAGUAGGAUCAGGCAAAAGAAAAAACAUGUUCAGGCAAUAUAAAAUAUGGAACGAUGCAACAGCCGCAGGAGCAAUCUUCCGUUAUCUAAAAUAUUAGUUAAGCAUAUGAAUUGACCAAGUUGAAAUCUCUAGACAUCUUAUCUAAAAAAACAUCUAAGAAAAACCUCAAAAAUCUAAGAAAGAAAAAAAAGGAUAAUAAUUGCACAUGAAUCAGCAGCAUUAGCUUCCACGAUCUUGCUCAACAACCCAAAAUUACUAAAUCCCAUCAAGAACUACAUGUUGAACUGUUCCUGCACAGUAAAACCACCAGUGCUACUGGGCCAUAUCUGAUCCAUCCACUACUCCAAGAUGUUUCGAAACAUCAAAGGAAAAGGAGGGAAUAGAGGAGCAAAGCCGUGAGCAGCACAAGUCCACUCCCUUCCUGGCCUGGUCGCCAUCCAGUGGAAGUAUAUUAGGCAUUGUCCACAUAGACAGGGGUACUGUGAUGCCGUCGACCGAAGAACGAAGCAAGCUGAUGAAAAUCCAAAAAAGGAAAAUCAAGCAGAGGAGAGGGAGCUCUGCAACAUUUAUUAGAGGUAACACAUACCAGAAGUCCAGCCACAAUAUCAUGGCAAGUGCAUAUCAAAAGAACACGAAUCACAAUCAGAGGCUCGGGAUAGACCAAACGCAGUGACCGUUAACAAAUCUAAACUCCAUGUUAAUAAUAGCCACUUAUAUAUAUUUGGAUGUACAUAGAAAUUAGAUAUUUCUUGAUUGUUUCCAUAAGAAAAAACAUACUGGCUGCAACAGAAUGAAAGACUAACCUAUUGAUGAGCACAACAGUACAUACCAUCCCAUCCUGAUGUUGCCAUCUCUCACACUUGAUGAUUACAUCUUGUUAUUUCUAACAUGUACACCAUCGAGCAAUUGCUUUACUAGAAAUAUAUUUACACAAUAUGAUCAGAGCAACAUCAAGGAGUCCAAUGCUGGUGCACAGAUUCUCCUCAAAUUCCACAUCCAACCCUUGUAGAGAAGGACGACAUAUUUGCUUAGGUGAUUUUUGAUUGAGCUCCUACAGAAAAAUUCAAAGAAAUCAUGAGGAGCAUGGAGCAAAGCAAACUGAUCAGAGUAAAUCAUGAGACGAGAAGCCUCUCAACCUACUACAGGGAAUCGAGUCAACAUAAACUGCUGUAAGAAUUAAACCGUAAUGUAGGUCAACAACCAAGCAGUUGAUAAAAUAAGCCUGACACAACCCAUUAAUACAAUAUAUAAUCACAGGACGUAGAUAGAGAUUGUGCAGAUAUCAUGAUCUACGAACCGUAUCUACAAAUAUUGAUUGAAAAGUCACAAAGAAAACCUCCUGACAUCACAAAACAAAUGUUUCAUCAACAGAAACUCUAGUGAAUGCCAAUUGGAUUAUAUGAGUAAGAUAGGGACAUUAAAAAAAGGAAAAAGAUAAUUUAAUAUUAUAUAUUCUAUUUUCUUACUUCACAUCACAGAGAAUGCAAGUCAAAGAUAUUGCGAUACAUCUUACCCUUCUAUUAUGAAAGGCACAAUCCCGAGCAAAAUAUAAAGAACGAAUUGCUCCUGUGGUCCAAGUAUUGCAAAAAUAGUUAUAUAUAGAUUAUUCAGCAGUGAGGAUAAACAUGGCAUGUACUACCGAAAUCCCUGGAGCUUAGUCUGCAUAUCUAUUCGUCUUGUCCGUAAAUCAGUGGUGGCCAAGAUGUGCUGGCAGCUCACCUGCCUCUCCCCGUUUACAAAUAAAAUCAAUGCAGCUCAAUGCAAAAAAAGAACAUAGAUAUAUCUACUUGUAACUCCGGAGUGUUAGUAGAGUCGAGGAGAGAAAACCCAGCCAAUGUUACAGCAGAUCGAUGUGCAGACUUUGUUAGGGACAGUCCCAGUUGUAAAACAUAGAUAUAUCUAC
This 3659-nucleotide long non-coding RNA is filed under the name Triticum aestivum (bread wheat). RNAcentral's name for it is "long non-coding RNA (TAES_LNC007072)". Lineage: Eukaryota; Viridiplantae; Streptophyta; Magnoliopsida; Poales; Poaceae. The record is from RNAcentral.